This 1288-nucleotide unclassified non-coding RNA is filed under the name unidentified. The record is from RNAcentral.
AUGCCAUCCGCGACGCUGCCGCGGUUCGACCUCAUGGGCUGGGACAAGGAGGACAUCGCCCACCCCUACCCGGUCUACCGGCGCUACCGGGAGGCCGCCCCGGUCCAUCGCACGGCGGCGGGCCCCGGAAAGCCUGACACCUACUACGUGUUCACCUACGACGACGUGGUCCGCGUCCUGUCCAACCGGCGGUUCGGCCGCAACGCCCGCGUGGCCUCCGGCGACACCGGCCCCGACACCGCGCCCGUCCCGAUCCCGGCCGAGCACCGCGCCCUGCGGACCGUCGUCGAGAACUGGCUGGUCUUCCUCGACCCCCCGCGCCACACCGAACUGCGCUCCCUGCUCACCGGCGAGUUCUCACCCUCGAUCGUCACCGGCCUGCGCCCCCGCAUCGCCGAACUCGCGAGCGAACUCCUGGACCGGCUCCGAGCACACCGCCGGCCCGAUCUCGUCGAGGGUUCGCGGCGCCCCUCCCCGAUCCUCGUCAUCUCCGCACUGCUGGGCAUCCCCCGCGGAGGACCACACCUGGUGCGCGCCAACGCGGUGGCCCUUCAGGAGGCCGGCACCACGCUCGCGCGGCGGCCACGGUACGCACGGGCCGAGGCGGCGUCCCAGGAGUUCACCCGCUACUUCCGGCGAGAGGUGGACCGGCGCGGCGGCGACGACCGCGACGAUCUGCUCACCCUCCUCGUCCGCGCCCGGGACACCGGAUCACCGCUCAGCGUGGACGGCAUCGUCGGCACCUGCGUCCAUCUGCUCACCGCCGGCCACGAGACCACCACCAACUGCCUCGCCAGGGCGGUCCUCACCCUGCGCGCCCACCCUGACGUCCUCGACGAGCUGCGCACCACACCGGAGUCGACACCGGCGGCCGUCGAAGAGCUGAUGCGGUACGACCCGCCCGUGCAGGCGGUGACGCGCUGGGCGUACGAGGACAUCCGGCUCGGCGACCACGACAUCCCGCGCGGCAGCCGGGUGGUCGCGCUGCUGGGCUCGGCGAACCGGGACCCGGCGCGCUUCCCGGCUCCCGACGUGCUGGACGUCCACCGCGCCGCCGAACGGCAGGUGGGCUUCGGCCUCGGAAUCCACUACUGCCUCGGCGCGACCCUGGCCCGCGCCGAGGCCGAGAUCGGUCUGAGGGCCCUGCUGGACGGCAUCCCCGCCCUCGGCCGAGGCGCCCACGAGGUCGAGUACGCCGACGACAUGGUCUUCCACGGCCCGAMGCGGCUCCUCCUCGACCUGCCGGAMGCCACGUDCCCCUCGGCCAGCCACCCCUAGCCCUCGGCCA